RNAcentral lists this long non-coding RNA (327 nucleotides) under Marmota monax (woodchuck). The record is from RNAcentral. Lineage: Eukaryota; Metazoa; Chordata; Mammalia; Rodentia; Sciuridae.
UUGUAAUCAAAGGAAACCUGCUCUGGGGAUGCAGGUCUGUUCCUGCAUUGCUCAGCCUGGGAUGUCCAGGAGUGAGUCACACUUGCCCCUGCCUCCAGACAUCUCCAUGGAAGGGGUGACCCCUGCCACUUUGGCGACUGCUAAUUUCCAAGCUGCCGCACUGCUCCUGCAUUAUCAUCGUUCUGACUUCAUGAGAAAGUCUAUGGUAAAUUUCUGGAAAGCGAAUAGGAAGUUGUAUUUCUAAGCAGUCUGACACUGAGGGAAGGCAGCAAGACUAUAAGAAGUGUGGGCUGGACAGGAGGCAGAAAGCCAGCAGAGCCGCAGAGG